UACAGAGGGUGCAAGCGUUAAUCGGAAUUACUGGGCGUAAAGCGUGCGUAGACGGUCAUGUAAGUCGGGUGUGAAAGCCCCGGGCUCAACCUGGGAAUUGCAUUCGAGACUGCAUGGCUAGGAUGCGGAAGAGGGAAGCGGAAUUUCCGGUGUAGCGGUGAAAUGCGUAGAUAUCGGAAGGAACACCAGUGGCGAAAGCGGCUUCCUGGUCCAGCAUCGACGUUCAGGCACGAAAGCGUGGGGAUCAAACAGG
RNAcentral lists this ribosomal RNA (253 nucleotides) under uncultured bacterium. RNAcentral describes it as "partial 16S ribosomal RNA". It matches the Rfam family "Bacterial small subunit ribosomal RNA", at positions 524 to 776 of the family's 1533-position model. The record is from RNAcentral.